This 396-nucleotide ribosomal RNA is filed under the name uncultured bacterium. RNAcentral's name for it is "partial 16S ribosomal RNA". It matches the Rfam family "Bacterial small subunit ribosomal RNA", at positions 359 to 773 of the family's 1533-position model. The record is from RNAcentral.
GAUAUUGCACAAUGGAGGAAACUCUGAUGCAGCGAUGCCGCGUGGAGGAAGAAGGUCUUCGGAUUGUAAACUCCUGUUAUCGGGGACGAAGAUGACGGUACCCGACGAGGAAGCUCCGGCUAACUACGGGCCAGCAGCCGCGGUAAUACGUAGGGAGCGAGCGUUGUCCGGAAUUACUGGGUGUAAAGGGAGUGUAGGCGGGGUAGCAAGUCAGGUGUGAAAACUAUGGGCUCAACCCAUAGACUGCACUUGAAACUGUUAUUCUUGAGUGAAGUAGAGGUAAGCGGAAUUCCUAGUGUAGCGGUGAAAUGCGUAGAUAUUAGGAGGAACAUCAGUGGAGAAGGCGGCUUACUGGGCUUUUACUGACGCUGAGGCUCGAAAGCGUGGGGAGCAAAC